UGUUUGACGGGCGAGGCGUCACCCUGCUGGAGGUCUGUGGUAGCUGGCCGGAGAGCUUUGGCGUACCGCGACACAACAUCGGCUCGGCAGAUGCGACUGAUGAAGGGCUCCGGGAGAGACUGGCCGAUGCCAUGUCCGAGUCCCCCUCUAGGGACAUCGUAGGAUCAGCUACAGAGCUGCAGAGGGAGGGCAGCAUCGAGACCCUCAGCAACAGCUCGGGUUCCACCAGCGGCAGCAUCCCGAGAAACUUCGAGGGCUACCGCUCCCCUCUGCCCACCAAUGAGGGCCAGCCGCUCAGCCUCUUCCCCACCAACUUCCCCUGAGGAGACCCACCUCUGUUCCAGAAACAUCCACCAACACCCGGCCCUCCUGACCCACCUCUGCCUCCCUCCCCUCCCCUCCCCUCCCCUCCUCUCCCGACAAAUCUGACUCUCUGAUGUGUUACAUUGAACCCAAACUGUGUCUAGGAUUUCUGUUCUCUCUCACAGCUCAGUGUGAUCACAAACAGAAUCAGUAUUUUAUUACUUAAGUCUGGAAAGUCGGAUUAAGUCUGUGGAGAGUUCCAAAUAUUUUGACCAUUUUAGAGAUUCAAAAAAAUAUAUAUCAUUUAGUUUUAAAACUUGAAUUGCUUUCAUGUCUGGAUGAAAACACCUCAGCAAAUCACUGUAAAAAACACUGUACAACUAAUUUCACUUCAGGUUUUUUAACUGUCGCUGAACAAUUAACCAAAUUUGCAGUUUCCACACAGAGUAUUUUCAUACAGCUGCAGUCACCGGGGAAAUUCCAUUAUUGUCAAUAACAGAUCUUCAAUUACGGACCAGAAUCACUCUGCCUGUUACCUUCCUUGUUGUUUUCAGAGACCAGCCGUCCUCUCCUCUCCUCUCCUGCAGCUCAGUCUGCCGUGUCCUCCGCCCGCCAUCAUUCUUUUUCUGUGUGUUUGAAGUUUUACGGUGUGCCUAUUGUCUGAAUGAGCCGUAAGAAAGGGAGCGCAGACGGAGGAGAAAUGUUUAUUCCAGUCAGUGACGUGUAGCAACCAUGUGUGUGUGUGUGUGUGUGAGUGUGUUGCUGCUUGCUCAAUGUUUUUCAUUAAUUUUGGUCCUGUUCUGCCUUUGAUUCUCAUGCAUUUGCUUUUGUCUAAAAGAUGCAGUAAUGACAUGACACUAUAUGUAGGUUGCUACGAUAAUUUUGAUGUUUACGCUGUGAUUGAGAAAUGUCAUGUGGAUUAUUUUGAACCCCAAAACCUCGGCCUUGCAGAGUCCAUUUGAAUUGAGGGGAGUAAUGGACUACAUGCCGUUUUUUGUACGGUAGCAACUUUUGACCAAAAUCUUUUAGCUGCCUCUAAAAUAAAAAAAUGUAUUUUGCUUAAAUGUUCUAGCUUUUCCCAUAACAAAAAUUGACUUUGAUAAUCAGAAAUCCUUUUAUUCACACACUUGUUUGACUUGGUGAAAUCUUAAAUGCACUAUUUACAGAGUCACCUCAGAAAAAAACAACAAAGGAGAAAUCAGGUGUUUCUCAAACCUGGGUCGUCUUUUUUACAGAAUGUCUGCAUCUUAUCUUAAUGACUAAUGUAUGCAGAAAAUGUUGUCCAGUGAAUUGCGUCAGCUGGCGGCCUCAAAACAGGCCGUGAUAGCUGCGAUGUAUUCGCCGCAACAAGUGGACCUGAUCAACUUACUGUAGGUCCCCUGACAGUUUUUACUCUUUAUCACUGACUGACUCAGAUUGUUCUUUUAUGUGUCAGACAACAUAACAAACAGGAUCCCUGCAGAGAGAGAACCUGUUUUCAUUAAAGGACAAAGAUGAUGUUUUUAAACCACAAACAUCUGUUGCAUCACUCUCCUCAAAGCCACCCGACUCCAUUGAUAAAAACAGUCAUUUUACCUCUCAGAACAUGGAAGGCGCUGAUCUACUGCUGCCUCUAUCUGUAAGUUGAAGAUAACACUUUAAAAAGCCCUGAGUCACAUCACAGUAAAUAUACCCAACAAGCCGAUUCAGGGGUGGACCUGCAGCUCCCAUGUUCUGCUAAGGUCAAGUUGAUAAUAAAGAGAUGAAACCUUUUUGUUACUCUAUUCAAAGCCAGACUCCAUUCACAAAAACAUUGAUUUGACCUGAAAGAGCGAGGACCUUGUUUGUAUACCUCGGCCUUCAAUUGCCAGUUUGUUUGUCUGAUCGUGUGACUUGACUUCAGUGUUUUAAAUGUUUGGUAAAGAUCCUGUACUUUUUUUUAAAACAUCAGCCACUUCUUUAAUUCUGCAAGUUAAAGGGCCUGAUUCUUUAAUGGAGUCUGGUAGUUUGAAUCAGAGAGUGAUGAACGGCUCUCACACAAAGGUCUCUCUCUGUAGGGAAUCUUUCUGUAAAGUUGUCAGACACUUUGAGUGACAAUCUGAGUCCACUAGUGGAAAAAGAAAACUAGAUUUUUCAAUCGGACUCACUCUGAUCAGGUACAUUUGUUCUGAAAGAGAACACAUCCAGAAGAUAGAGCAACCUACAGGAGCAACGUAAAGAUAUUUGUUAUUAAUUUAGACCCUUAAAUCUGUUUUAAAAAGCCCCAGGUUGACAACACUUGAAUUCCCCUGUAAAGAUAAACACAGUGUACAAUCCCAUGUGUGAGUGUUGUGGAGCUGGCUGCAUGUCAUGAAGGCCUGUUGUUACUCGGUCACUGAUUCUAGUUUGAAAUGAGAGCAAACGCUUGUUGUUGAUUAGUGAAAUACUGACUUGUUUUUGCAGCAUUCAUGCAAAGAAAAGAACAUAAUAAAAACGAAAGAAAAAGGAA
Labrus bergylta (ballan wrasse) is the source of this 2770-nucleotide non-coding RNA. NCBI's taxonomy places the organism in Eukaryota, Metazoa, Chordata, Actinopteri, Labriformes, Labridae. The record is from RefSeq and is a predicted model, not a curated record.